This 218-nucleotide unclassified non-coding RNA is filed under the name uncultured Russula. Its description in RNAcentral is "sequence contains ITS1". Lineage: Eukaryota; Fungi; Basidiomycota; Agaricomycetes; Russulales; Russulaceae. The record is from RNAcentral.
UCGUAUAACGGAGAUGCCCCCAGGGCUGUCGCUGACCUUCACAGGUCGUGCACGCCCAAAGGUGCUCUCUCACAUCCAUCUCACCCCUUUGUGCAUCACCGCGUGUGCUUCCCUGUUGGGCUUGUUCCGAGCGGGGGGGUUCACGUUUUUAUAUGAACACCAAUUUUUAAAAAGCAUGUAUAGAAUGCCUUACUUUUUGCAAUUAUGUGCAAUCAAUA